This 753-nucleotide ribosomal RNA is filed under the name uncultured Virgibacillus sp. RNAcentral's name for it is "bacterial SSU rRNA". It matches the Rfam family "Bacterial small subunit ribosomal RNA", at positions 638 to 1391 of the family's 1533-position model. The record is from RNAcentral. Lineage: Bacteria; Bacillati; Bacillota; Bacilli; Caryophanales; Bacillaceae.
GGACUUGAGUACAGAAGAGGAGAGUGGAAUUCCACGUGUAGCGGUGAAAUGCGUAGAGAUGUGGAGGAACACCAGUGGCGAAGGCGACUCUCUGGUCUGUAACUGACGCUGAGGCGCGAAAGCGUGGGGAGCGAACAGGAUUAGAUACCCUGGUAGUCCACGCCGUAAACGAUGAGUGCUAGGUGUUAGGGGGUUUCCGCCCCUUAGUGCUGAAGUUAACGCAUUAAGCACUCCGCCUGGGGAGUACGGCCGCAAGGCUGAAACUCAAAAGAAUUGACGGGGGCCCGCACAAGCGGUGGAGCAUGUGGUUUAAUUCGACGCAACGCGAAGAACCUUACCAGGUCUUGACAUCCUCUGCAAUCGGUAGAGAUACCGAGUUCCCUUCGGGGACAGAGUGACAGGUGGUGCAUGGUUGUCGUCAGCUCGUGUCGUGAGAUGUUGGGUUAAGUCCCGCAACGAGCGCAACCCUUGAUCUUAGUUGCCAGCAUUUAGUUGGGCACUCUAAGGUGACUGCCGGUGACAAACCGGAGGAAGGUGGGGAUGACGUCAAAUCAUCAUGCCCCUUAUGACCUGGGCUACACACGUGCUACAAUGGAUGGAACAAAGGGAAGCAAAACCGCGAGGUCAAGCAAAUCCCAUAAAACCAUUCUCAGUUCGGAUUGCAGGCUGCAACUCGCCUGCAUGAAGCCGGAAUCGCUAGUAAUCGCGGAUCAGCAUGCCGCGGUGAAUACGUUCCCGGGCCUUGUACACACC